UGGACGCGCUUUGCUGACGUGGCA
Molecule: microRNA, 24 nt
Filed under: Gossypium raimondii (Peruvian cotton)
Lineage: Eukaryota; Viridiplantae; Streptophyta; Magnoliopsida; Malvales; Malvaceae
Description: gra-miR8755
Source: miRBase by way of RNAcentral